CCGAAUUCGUCGACAACAGAGUUUGAUCCUGGCUCAGGACGAACGCUGGCGGCGUGCCUAAUACAUGCAAGUCGAGCGGAACCGGGGGAGCUUGCUCCCUUGGUUUAGCGGCGGACGGGUGAGUAACACGUGGGCAACCUGCCCUGCAGAUCGGGAUAACUCCGGGAAACCGGUGCUAAUACCGAAUAGUUUGCGGCCUCUCAUGAGGCUGCACGGAAAGACGGUUUCGGCUGUCACUGCAGGAUGGGCCCGCGGCGCAUUAGCUAGUUGGUGGGGUAACGGCCCACCAAGGCGACGAUGCGUAGCCGACCUGAAAGGGUGAUCGGCCACACUGGGACUGAGACACGGCCCAGACUCCUACGGGAGGCAGCAGUAGGGAAUCUUCCGCAAUGGACGAAAGUCUGACGGAGCAACGCCGCGUGAGUGAAGAAGGUUUUCGGAUCGUAAAACUCUGUUGUGAGGGAAGAACAAGUACCAGCUAACUACUGGUACCUUGACGGUACCUCACCAGAAAGCCACGGCUAACUACGUGCCAGCAGCCGCGGUAAUACGUAGGUGGCAAGCGUUGUCCGGAAUUAUUGGGCGUAAAGCGCGCGCAGGCGGUCCUUUAAGUCUGAUGUGAAAGCCCACGGCUCAACCGUGGAGGGUCAUUGGAAACUGGGGGACUUGAGUGCAGAAGAGGAAAGUGGAAUUCCACGUGUAGCGGUGAAAUGCGUAGAGAUGUGGAGGAACACCAGUGGCGAAGGCGA
RNAcentral lists this ribosomal RNA (749 nucleotides) under Planococcus sp. 'Mali 1'. RNAcentral's name for it is "partial 16S ribosomal RNA". It matches the Rfam family "Bacterial small subunit ribosomal RNA", at positions 1 to 724 of the family's 1533-position model. The record is from RNAcentral. Lineage: Bacteria; Bacillati; Bacillota; Bacilli; Caryophanales; Caryophanaceae.